Amaranthus tricolor (Joseph's coat) is the source of this 3392-nucleotide long non-coding RNA. RefSeq lists it as uncharacterized. NCBI's taxonomy places the organism in Eukaryota, Viridiplantae, Streptophyta, Magnoliopsida, Caryophyllales, Amaranthaceae. The transcript has 4 exons. The record is from RefSeq and is a predicted model, not a curated record.
GUUUAUCAAUCCAUUAUACUACUUUUCUCCUUAUAUUUUUCUUACUUUUUAACAUAAUCACACUUUGAGAAACACGCGCAUCCCAUUUUAAUUUCUAAAUAAGUGUUCAACUUUCUUUCUCAUCUCUCUCCUACUUUUGAUUUCCUCAUUCUGUUGACAAACCUUACAAUUGCCAUCUCUUUUUCCAUUCAAUUCUGUUUUACAAUCCCCCCCUUCACGCUCACCAUUGUUGGCUCUCCCUCCUUUACUAACUGCAACACGUUCAUAAUCUUCAAUUUUCUUCCAUUUUCGUUAAAUUUCUAAGCUUGCUAACAGGAGGAUUUACAGAACAAUAAUAUUUACCAGAAUCGUCUUAAACAAUCUGAAUCAGGAUUGUGACAUAUUGAUAAGUUAGCAAAUGAAUUCGCACUUGCUAAGCCAAGAAGAAUUACUGCAAUUAUGGCUGAGCGCAAAAUAUGUGUUGUGCAGGAUAAAAAGAGGAAGAUGAUAAGCAAGAGAGGUCCAAAGAAAAUUAUUCCAAGGAAAAAGAAAUAGCUGUUAUUUGAUCAAACAUCACACCAUUUAAUCAAACAUUUUGCUUUCGACAAGAUAAUAGCGUUGAUUGCGGCUACUACACUCUCAAAUAUAUGGAAGAUCUCUUACAAGCCAUGAAGAACGUUAGAGUCGAAAAUAUUGAUGCCGUUUUAUACGACACUUCAAGGGGAAGACGCACUUUGAGAGAUGACGAAAUGCGCGAAUUGAAAGACCAGAUUGCCGUGUAUCUUGCUAAUUUAUGUGUUUGGUAAUUAAUGUAAUUAGUUUAGAUUUAAGACUUUUGUAUAUAUAUAUAUAUAUAUAUAUAUAUAUAUAUAUAUAUAUAUGCUGCUGUUCUCCCAAAAUCGCAACAUAUAGUGUAUUUUUUUAUUUUUAAAAAACACACUAUAUGCUGUGGUUUUGGGUGAACCGUAGCACAUAGUCUGUUUUUUUAAAAUCGAAAAAUACACUAUAUGCUGCGGUUCCCCAAAAACCGCAACAUAUAGUGCACUAUUGUGCUGCGGUUUUAAACUGCAGCAUUUAAAAGUAGGCUAUCUGCUGCUAUCACUAAUGCUUGGGGUCAAAACCGCAACAUUUUAUGACAAAAAAACCGUAAUAAAUGAUGUUUUUUCCAAUUGGGUUAGUUGGGUGAUUUUUGUGACUUUUUGGUCGUGAAUUGACGCUUACAGGUAUGUACACGCAGUAAUUAACUAUUAUAUUCAACGUUUCAAAGUAUUGUCAAUGUUUUGGGAUUUUAUGCAUUUUAUUAGAAUUUAAGAGCGCUUGAAAGUAAAUAUGCCAUUGAAAAGUUUUGAUAGUAGUAUAGGCAAGUAUAAUGAAAGUAUUAGUAGAAUAUGAGAACAAACUCUCCAAUAUUAGAAAAAGAAUUAUGUUUGGGGUGUGGUAUCGAAAUGUUUCCCCUAUUGUUAAGUCUUGAUUUUGAGUAGACGGCGUGACUCAACUGGAUUUAUAUUCAGUUGAUUUAGUAGACCCCUAGGUGAGAUCCGACGGGAUCAUUGUACGAAGUGUUUGAGCAUACUUUUGUCGUUGGGAGCCGGAUGGCCGAUACCGCCCCUUGACCGAGGUGUUACCAUUCGGGCCUUACAAACCCUAAUAUGGUAGCCUCUUUAUUGGAUUGGCACCCUAGUGUGUUUAAUUUUCUUAUAGGUAGGACCCGAGAGGGUCAGCUUGAGGGGAUAUGAGCUCAUACUUUGCCAUGGGCUCGGAUGGCCGAUAACGCCCUUAGCGUUGUCACUAUGCCAUAUAUAGAGAAAGAUUCACUACUCUUCAAUAUUCUUCGAGGGAUAAGAAGUUCUGAAAAAGAAAUUGUGAGUGAACAAAAGUGUUUAGACAGAUGAGUAGAAUCUUUAUUGUUGUGCUAUGUCGUCGUCUAUUCCCUUUGUUCUAUGAUUUUAAUUAUUAUAAGUAUUGAUUACUGACGCGUAUGUGUUUGUUCCUUGCUGUUUUGAUUAUGACUUUCUAUGAUGUUUCUGCUAUGAUAUAUUUGGCUAUGGCCAUUAUGUUGAGCAGCAGUAGGAUCAUAGGUUGCAUAACAGGUAUAAUUUCCUUUCUUUUGCAUUGCAUUGGGGAAAGAGUGGAAUACGAUCAUAGCAAUUGUUAUACAAGUAACCAAAUGCUUUGUAGCUCUUAUAUUAAUUGUAAAGUUUUUGGAUGUGUAAUUCCUUUGUAUGGAGCCACGUGACUACUUGUAUGUUUCGUAGUUCCGCUGUAUGAUUUUUGGAUGUAUGGUCGUAGUAAUACUUCUUUCAUAGCUGUUAAACCGAUUCGUUAACACUAGAACCACGAUCCGUGUUAGAAUUGAUAAAUUGAUGAGCCGACGAUGAUUCUUCCGUCGUGACAUAUUUCUGAAGGGCUUUGAUGCAUUCGAUUAGUUUAGUUGAGUUGCUUUAUUUACCGAUGUUUGUUACGUCCUCAAUUUCAGUAGAAAUGUUGUCGAAAUUUCUACACAUCUCUUUAAAGUUAACCUUUAACGUUUAUUUAAUUUUUUUUUUCUUUUCUUUUCUGUAACUCCCAAAUUUCCUUCUGUCCUUUACGAUUUUAGUUUCGUUUAUGGGGUUGGAAAUUCAGGGACGUUACAACAAACUUUUGUUAUUUGAAAUAAACAUAGUUAGUAUUAUAACACUACAUAGUAUAUAAAACUUUACAGUUGGGGUUAUAAUGAUUUACAUUUUGCUUUGAUAUUAUUGUCAAAUUCAGUAGUUGGAUUUAUAAUUUUAUAAAUUUGGUAUUAUAAUACUAUAUAGUUGGGAUUUUAAUUUUACAACGUUGGUAUUUUAAAAUUACACAGUUGGAUUAUAAUGCUACAAAGUUGAUAUUAUAAUAUUACACAAAUGGUAUUAUAAUAUUAUAUAUUUCGUAUUAUAUUACUACAAAGUUGGUAUUAUAGUAUUAUAAAGGUAAAAUGUCCAGAAAAUAAUCUGAACUUUCGACAAGUGGUGUACUGAAAUUAUCAUCUCAACUAUCUUUAUUAGAUUUUUAUACGUAUAAUGUUUUUUCCUUAAAUCUCAAUAUACUCUAGUACAGAUAAAUUUUAUAAUUCAUGUUAAAUUUUUAAGCUGCCAUAGAAUAUAUAAUUAAGUGGACUAAAUUGCAGUAAUUAAUAUAUAUAUAUUCAUCUAUGUUAAAAUAUGAGGAUACAUAGUAUCAGUUGAGUAUAUAAAUAUGAUUUUUCAUUGCUAGCAUAUAUAAUGCCAAAUAUAUUACUCGCUGAAUCAUUAUUUAUGGUGCAAAAAAUACUGAUGGAAGUAUCAAUAUCAGUUUUUCCUUAAAUUAGUGCAUAUUUUUCUGGUAUCAAGGUUAGAUUUGGAGAUCAAUUGUAGUUAAUUUUUACCACAAUAUUACAAAAAAUAUUAUAUAUU